AUGGCCUCCUCCGCUGCCGGCGCCGGCAAGUCACUGAUCCAGACAUUCCGCAAGUUCUUCAAGAAGCCGUGGGAGAUCACCGGCCCGUGCUCCUCGCCCGAGUACCGCAGCGCGGUCCCGGGUGCGCUCGAGUACCGUCAAACCUGCCCGGCCACCCUUCGCGAGGACUCCCUCAGGGCCGUCAUCCCCACCUCCGACCCGGAGACCGUGUUCGACAUCAAGUACUACCCGCGCGACUGCCGCCGCAACCGCCCGCCCGUCCGCCGCACCCUCCUCCGCAAGCCCGAUCUCGAGCGCUACAUGGCCGCCAAGCAGUUCGACCCCGCCAAGGACUUCCCCGUCCCCUACGUCAAUUCUGCUGUCGAGUACAGCGAAGUCGGCGGCGGCUACACCAAGUGA
Molecule: ribosomal RNA, 399 nt
Filed under: Triticum aestivum (bread wheat)
Lineage: Eukaryota; Viridiplantae; Streptophyta; Magnoliopsida; Poales; Poaceae
Description: partial small subunit ribosomal RNA
Source: RNAcentral